UACGUAGGGUGCAAGCGUUGUCCGGAAUUACUGGGCGUAAAGGGUGCGUAGGCGGUCUGCUAAGUCGGACGUGAAAUCCCUCGGCUCAACCGAGGAACUGCGUCCGAUACUGGUGGGCUUGAAUCCGGGAGAGGGAUGUGGAAUUCCAGGUGUAGCGGUGAAAUGCGUAGAUAUCUGGAGGAACACCGGUGGCGAAGGCGGCAUCCUGGACCGGUAUUGACGCUGAGGCGCGAAAGCUAGGGUAGCAAACGGG
RNAcentral lists this ribosomal RNA (253 nucleotides) under uncultured bacterium. RNAcentral describes it as "partial 16S ribosomal RNA". It matches the Rfam family "Bacterial small subunit ribosomal RNA", at positions 524 to 776 of the family's 1533-position model. The record is from RNAcentral.